AGAGUUUGAUCCUGGCUCAGAUUGAACGCUGGCGGCAGGCCUAAGACAUGCAAGUCGAGCGGWUGACGGGAGCUUGCUCCCUGAUUCAGCGGCGGACGGGUGAGUAAUGCCUAGGAAUCUGCCUGGUAGUGGGGGACAACGUUUCGAAAGGAACGCUAAUACCGCAUACGUCCUACGGGAGAAAGCAGGGGACCUUCGGGCCUUGCGCUAUCAGAUGAGCCUAGGUCGGAUUAGCUAGUUGGUGAGGUAAUGGCUCACCAAGGCGACGAUCCGUAACUGGUCUGAGAGGAUGAUCAGUCACACUGGAACUGAGACACGGUCCAGACUCCUACGGGAGGCAGCAGUGGGGAAUAUUGGACAAUGGGCGAAAGCCUGAUCCAGCCAUGCCGCGUGUGUGAAGAAGGUCUUCGGAUUGUAAAGCACUUUAAGUUGGGAGGAAGGGCAUUAACCUAAUACGUUAGUGUUUUGACGUUACCGACAGAAUAAGCACCGGCUAACUCUGUGCCAGCAGCCGCGGUAAUAC
This 523-nucleotide ribosomal RNA is filed under the name Pseudomonas sp. NZWM7. RNAcentral's name for it is "bacterial SSU rRNA". It matches the Rfam family "Bacterial small subunit ribosomal RNA", at positions 8 to 526 of the family's 1533-position model. Lineage: Bacteria; Pseudomonadati; Pseudomonadota; Gammaproteobacteria; Pseudomonadales; Pseudomonadaceae. The record is from RNAcentral.